AUGAGCACAUCUGCCAAAUCUUCUUCCUCUGCUUUGAGGAAAAUAGCAGAGCACUCUGAUGGAAGAACGUAUCUGGGACAGUCAGCCUCAGCCAGUGAAGACUAUAGCUCUAGGAAUAGUUGCCGCAUUGUUUUACUGGCACCUAGUGUAGGUGGAGAACAUGUUCUAAGAAAGCGGCUCCAAAAAGAUUUUUCCGCUUCUACUAUGGGACCUUGCAUGUGGGAUGAUGAGGGCAAUCAAAGCAGGUUUUCAAAGACACACAAGUUGAUGGAGGUUUGCAAGAUCUACAUACAAGCGGUUGACGGUUUGGAAGUUCUACAGCGGCUGAAGGUUUGGAGGACAUACAAUUAA
This 351-nucleotide ribosomal RNA is filed under the name Triticum aestivum (bread wheat). RNAcentral describes it as "partial small subunit ribosomal RNA". The record is from RNAcentral. Lineage: Eukaryota; Viridiplantae; Streptophyta; Magnoliopsida; Poales; Poaceae.